Non-coding RNA from Schistosoma haematobium, 45 nucleotides. The record is from Rfam. Lineage: Eukaryota; Metazoa; Platyhelminthes; Trematoda; Strigeidida; Schistosomatidae.
AUCUUGUUGACGAGUUCCAAAUGGGACGAAACGCGCGUCGUGAAU